UAAACAACAACAGAACGUCUAAGAGAGUAUGUAUAUGAUGUAAUU
RNAcentral lists this non-coding RNA (45 nucleotides) under Trypanosoma brucei brucei. The record is from RNAcentral. Lineage: Eukaryota; Euglenozoa; Kinetoplastea; Trypanosomatida; Trypanosomatidae.